UCCCAGGUGGCUCAGUGGUAAAGAAUCUGCCUGCAAUGCAGGAGACCCAGGUUCUAUCCCCAGGUUGGGAA
RNAcentral lists this transfer RNA (71 nucleotides) under Capra hircus (goat). It matches the Rfam family "tRNA". From Rfam's summary of the family: Transfer RNA (tRNA) molecules are approximately 80 nucleotides in length. Their secondary structure includes four short double-helical elements and three loops (D, anti-codon, and T loops). Lineage: Eukaryota; Metazoa; Chordata; Mammalia; Artiodactyla; Bovidae. The record is from Rfam by way of RNAcentral. RNAcentral also lists the same sequence under 1 other name.